This 468-nucleotide ribosomal RNA is filed under the name uncultured bacterium. RNAcentral describes it as "partial 16S ribosomal RNA". It matches the Rfam family "Bacterial small subunit ribosomal RNA", at positions 28 to 507 of the family's 1533-position model. The record is from RNAcentral.
GACGAACGCUGGCGGCGUGCUUAACACAUGCAAGUCGAACGGAAAGGCCCUGCUUUUGUGGGGUGCUCGAGUGGCGAACGGGUGAGUAACACGUGAGUAACCUGCCCUUGACUUUGGGAUAACUUCAGGAAACUGGGGCUAAUACCGGAUAGGAGCUCCCGCUGCAUGGUGGGGGUUGGAAAGUUUCGGCGGUUGGGGAUGGACGCGCGGCUUAUCAGCUUGUUGGUGGGGUAGUGGCUUACCAAGGCUUUGACGGGUAGCCGGCCUGAGAGGGUGACCGGCGACAUUGGGACUGAGAUACGGCCCAGACUCCUACGGGAGGCAGCGGUGGGGAAUAUUGCACAAUGGGCGGAAGCCUGAUGCAGCAGCGCCGCGUGCGGGAUGACGGCCUUCGGGUUGUGAACCGCUUUCGCCUGUGACGAAGCGUGAGUGACGGUAAUGGGUAAAGAAGCACCGGCUAACUACGUG